GCUUAAUAUAAAUUUAUUAAUUAAUAAAAUUUUAUUAAUAUAAUUAUUUAGUGAUAAAUUUUAUUUUAUUGGGGUGAUAAUGGUAAAAUGAUUAUUAACUGUUUAUAAGAUUUAAACAAAUUUAGAUGAGUUAUAUAUAAUAAAUGAUCCUAUUUAGAGAUUAAAAGUUUAAGUU
This 175-nucleotide ribosomal RNA is filed under the name Nanosesarma minutum. RNAcentral's name for it is "partial 16S ribosomal RNA". Lineage: Eukaryota; Metazoa; Arthropoda; Malacostraca; Decapoda; Sesarmidae. The record is from RNAcentral.